UCCCCUCCUUCCUCUCUGGUUCUCCCACGGGCUCUCGGCUCUCCCCACACCCCGCACUGUACCGUACCGUCCUCCACCACCAACGGGCUCUACGCCGUUGCGGCCGAGAAGAGGAGCGCGCUGCCGUGGAUGUGGUGUGAGGCGGUGAGGCGGAGGGAACGCGGGGAGCUCCGCGCACGGCGCUUCGAGACCGCCGCUCGGGUACGCCGCACCGCCUCGCUCUCGCUCUCCAACCGCAAGGAGUUCGCCACCCCGCACAACGGCGCCGUCAACUCCCUCCAGGUUGAUUUGACAGAGAGCCGGUACCUGCUCUCAGGGGCAUCAGAUGGGUCAAUCGCUAUAUUCGACGUGCAGAAUGCAACUGAAUACGAAGCUGGGCUCAUUGCCAAGCACAGGAGCAUUCUUCUUGUGGACAAGCAACAUGAAAAUGGCCACAAAUUUGCUGUAUCAAUGGCUAUAUGGUAUCCUGUGGACACUGGGCUGUUCAUGACAGCUUCUUUUGAUCAGUAUGUCAAAGUUUGGGAUACGAAUUCGGCUCAAGUUGUCAUGGAUUUUAAGAUGCCAGGAAAAGUGUACAGCGUAGCAAUGUCCCCAAUUGCAACAACACAUAUGCUUAUCGCUACUGGAAGUGCAGAUGUUCAGGUCCGCUUAUGUGACAUUGCUUCUGGAGCCUUUACCCACACGCUAUCCGGUCAUCGUGAUGGUAUCAUGUCUUUGGAGUGGUCUGCUUCAAGUGAAUGGAUUUUAAUGAGUGGUGGUUGUGAUGGGGCAAUACGAUUUUGGGACAUAAGACGAGCUGGAUGCUUUCGUGUUCUUGAUCAGUCACGGUCUCAACUAGGAAGACGGCCUCCUUUUCUCGAGGGCACCUCGGAAAAGGAUCCUAUGAACUCUUUACAACCUUCACCUUCUUCAAAGAUCUACUCAGCACAGCAGAGCACAGGCAAGAGUAAGCAGUUACAUUCUUCGCACAAAAGUAAAAUCCCUAGACAUGGACAUGUCCAACAGAGAUUGCACCCUGGUUUGUCUUCCAGUCAAAAUCGUGCAACAGCUCAUUAUGGUGCUGUUACAGGAUUAAGAACAACUACUGAUGGGAUGCACCUUCUUAGCUCAGGAUCUGAUUCUCGCUUAAGACUUUGGGAUAUUGAUUCAGGCUGCAAUACUUUGGUCAAUUUUGAAGCUAUGCGAUUACAGAAUAGCAAACCACUACAAUUAGCUGUCACUGAGGAUCCAUCACUUGUAUUUGUCCCAUGCAUGGCAAGCAUUAAGGCAUACAGUUUAUGGUCUGGUAUGACAUUUCAAACAUUCCGUGGGCACUAUGAACCUGUUAAUUGCUGCUACUAUAGUGCACAAGAACAAGAGCUUUAUACUGGCAGCAAUGACAGACAAAUUCUUGUGUGGUCUCCUUCAACUCCAGCAUUUACUGAAAUGGAAGAUGAUGGCAUGAGGCAAAGACAUUUUGUAGUCGAUGAAGAUAACUGGAGCGACUAAAAAUCAUGUGUGUACACUGAGAACAUUGACAUGAGGGGAUAUUCACAAGCCUCGUUUCUCUCUUUUUCUUGAGGGAAUUGCCUAUGUUUUGUACAGUACUUAUCCUGCAGUUUUUCACCGAAAUAUCACUUGGAUUACUCACAUCACCAUGGCAUAUGAAUUGUACAUUAUAUCACUUGGACAGAGACAGAUAAGUAAAAUGUAAAUAUUGCCAAAUUCUACUCUAGAAAACAGAAGAGCCCCGUUCUUUUCUGUGUUCAGCACUGUUGGAAUUCACCUUGUGAUCUCGUUCAGCUUCUGGUCACAAGCACUAAGCUGCAGUAGAAAAAGGAAAUCACAGUCACAUUAGUAUUUGAAGGCAAGAAUUUUUCAGCCAGCUGCUUACACAUGAUCUUGAUAUACUGGUGUUACUGCCAAUUUAUAUACUAGCAACCAGCUUAUGUGCUUCUCUCAUAAUGCCUUUCAUCCAUCACCUGUUAGCAUUUGGUAGUGUAUCUGGAUUGCUAGGAUUGUGUAUGAAUGUUUAUGGACUAUUUACAUACUCGAGUAUAUUAGAACUCUGGAUGUUCAU
Oryza brachyantha (malo sina) is the source of this 2059-nucleotide RNA transcript. It is a transcript of the gene named WD repeat-containing protein ATCSA-1-like, with no coding region annotated. The record is from RefSeq and is a predicted model, not a curated record. The transcript is spliced from 11 exons. Lineage: Eukaryota; Viridiplantae; Streptophyta; Magnoliopsida; Poales; Poaceae.